GAAAUGCGAUAAGUAAUGUGAAUUUCAGAAUUCAGUGACUCAUCGAAUCUUUGAACGCACCUUGCGCUCCUUGGUAUUCCUUGGAGCAUGCCUGUUUGAGUAUCAUGAAAUCUUCAAAGUAAAUCUUUUGUUAACUCAAUUGGUUUCUACUUUGGUAUUGGAGGUCUUUGCAGCUUCACACUUGCUCCUCUUUGUUCAUUAGCUGGAUCUCAGUGUUAUGCUUGGUUCCACUCGGCGUGAUAAGUUAUCUAUCGCUGAGGACACUGUAAAAGGUGGCCAAGGUAAAUGCAGAUGAACCGCUUCUAAUAGUCCAUUGACUUGGACAAUACUUUUAUGAUCUGAUCUCAAAUCAGGUAGGACUACCCGCUGAACUUAAGC
RNAcentral lists this unclassified non-coding RNA (378 nucleotides) under plant metagenome. RNAcentral describes it as "partial contains 5.8S ribosomal RNA, internal transcribed spacer 2, and large subunit ribosomal RNA". The stretch from base 1 to 105 matches the Rfam family "5.8S ribosomal RNA", at positions 50 to 154 of the family's 154-position model. The record is from RNAcentral.